This 254-nucleotide ribosomal RNA is filed under the name uncultured bacterium. Its description in RNAcentral is "partial 16S ribosomal RNA". It matches the Rfam family "Bacterial small subunit ribosomal RNA", at positions 524 to 776 of the family's 1533-position model. The record is from RNAcentral.
CACGUAGGGUGCGAGCGUUGUCCGGAAUUAUUGGGCGUAAAGAGCUCGUAGGCGGUGUGUCGCGUCGGCCGUGAAAACUUGCAGCUUAACUGUGGGCGUGCGGUCGAUACGGGCAUCACUGGAGUUCGGCAGGGGAGACUGGAAUUCCUGGUGUAGCGGUGAAAUGCGCAGAUAUCAGGAAGAACACCCGUGGCUAAGGCGGCUCUCUAGUACGGUACUGACGCUGAGACGCGAGAGCGUGGGGAGCGAACAGG